GCUUCGCUGCGUCGGGCUCUUUUGCUUGGGGCUUGGGCUUUAACUUGGAGUCUAACUCUUCGAGUGUGUGGAAGGAGUUAGUUUUUUGCGGAGGUUGAGGUUGAGGUUGCGGAGGUGGCGAGGUGGUAGGUGGUUUGGUGAUGACGGGUUUGAGGUCUUGGAGUGUUUUGCUGACCUCCUCCCAUGAUUGAGGGGCGUCGGUGGCGUCGAGCAUGUUGAGUUUGUGGAGGAUAGGAGCGGGGAGAGGGGUUUUGUCUUGGUGGAUUUGGGUGGAGGUCUCGUUCAGGUGCUUCAGCCAUGGCUCCUCGAUCGCGUUUAUGUCGAACACCGCGAAGCUCGUCGGCGCCGGCCGGUAAGGGACCGCUGCCACAUCCACACCCUUAGAG
Molecule: long non-coding RNA, 386 nt
Filed under: Vigna radiata
Lineage: Eukaryota; Viridiplantae; Streptophyta; Magnoliopsida; Fabales; Fabaceae
Description: long non-coding RNA (VRAD_LNC007616)
Source: RNAcentral